CAGGCUUAACACAUGCAAGUCGAGGGGCUAUCAGGAAGAAAGCUUGCUUUCUUUGCUGGCGACCGGCGCACGGGUGAGUAACACGUAUCCAACCUGCCCUUUACUCGGGGAUAGCCUUUCGAAAGAAAGAUUAAUACCCGAUAGCAUAAUGAUUCCGCAUGGUUUCAUUAUUAAAGGAUUCCGGUAAAGGAUGGGGAUGCGUUCCAUUAGGUUGUUGGUGAGGUAACGGCCCACCAAGCCUUCGAUGGAUAGGGGUUCUGAGAGGAAGGUCCCCCACAUUGGAACUGAGACACGGUCCAAACUCCUACGGGAGGCAGCAGUGAGGAAUAUUGGUCAAUGGGCGCUAGCCUGAACCAGCCAAGUAGCGUGAAGGAUGAAGGCUCUAUGGGUCGUAAACUUCUUUUAUAUAAGAAUAAAGUGCAGUAUGUAUACUGUUUUGUAUGUAUUAUAUGAAUAAGGAUCGGCUAACUCCGUGCCAGCAGCCGCGGUAAUACGGAGGAUCCGAGCGUUAUCCGGAUUUAUUGGGUUUAAAGGGAGCGUAGGUGGACUGGUAAGUCAGUUGUGAAAGUUUGCGGCUCAACCGUAAAAUUGCAGUUGAUACUGUCAGUCUUGAGUACAGUAGAGGUGGGCGGAAUUCGUGGUGUAGCGGUGAAAUGCUUAGAUAUCACGAAGAACUCCGAUUGCGAAGGCAGCUCACUGGACUGCAACUGACACUGAUGCUCGAAAGUGUGGGUAUCAAACAGGAUUAGAUACCCUGGUAGUCCACACAGUAAACGAUGAAUACUCGCUGUUUGCGAUAUACAGUAAGCGGCCAAGCGAAAGCAUUAAGUAUUCCACCUGGGGAGUACGCCGGCAACGGUGAAACUCAAAGGAAUUGACGGGGGCCCGCACAAGCGGAGGAACAUGUGGUUUAAUUCGAUGAUACGCGAGGAACCUUACCCGGGCUUAAAUUGCAGUGGAAUGAUGUGGAAACAUGUCAGUGAGCAAUCACCGCUGUGAAGGUGCUGCAUGGUUGUCGUCAGCUCGUGCCGUGAGGUGUCGGCUUAAGUGCCAUAACGAGCGCAACCCUUAUCUUUAGUUACUAACAGGUUAUGCUGAGGACUCUAGAGAGACUGCCGUCGUAAGAUGUGAGGAAGGUGGGGAUGACGUCAAAUCAGCACGGCCCUUACGUCCGGGGCUACACACGUGUUACAAUGGGGGGUACAGAAGGCAGCUAGCGGGUGACCGUAUGCUAAUCCCAAAAUCCUCUCUCAGUUCGGAUCGAAGUCUGCAACCCGACUUCGUGAAGCUGGAUUCGCUAGUAAUCGCGCAUCAGCCACGGCGCGGUGAAUACGUUCCCGGGCCUUGUACACACCGCCCGUCAAGCCAUGGGAGCCGGGGGUACCUGAAGUACGUAACCGCAAGGAUCGUCCUAGGGUAAAACUGGUGACUG
RNAcentral lists this ribosomal RNA (1432 nucleotides) under uncultured organism. Its description in RNAcentral is "16S ribosomal RNA". It matches the Rfam family "Bacterial small subunit ribosomal RNA". The record is from RNAcentral.